AUGGAUGUGAGAGUUGGACUGUGAAGAAAGCUGAGCGCUGAAGAAUUGGUUAAGAAUCCACUCUGCCAUGCAGAGGACACAGGUUUGAUCCCUGGUCCAGAAAGAUCUCACAUGCCAUGGGGCAACUAGUGAGCGUGCACUCUGCAGCCUGCGGGCCACAUCUACUGAACCCACGUGCUGCAAUUAUGGAGCCCGCAUGCCUAGAGGCUGUACUCUGCAACAAGAGAAGCCACCGCAAUGAGAAGCCUGUGCCUCGCAGCUAGACUGUAGCCCCUGCUUGCCACAACUAGAGAAAAGUUCAGCAACAAAGACCCAGCACAGUCAAAAAUAAAUAAAUAAAUAUUAAAAUAACACUAAAAAAAUAACACUAAAUAACACUAAAUCUACCUGUGCCCUGGACCUAGCACUCAAGAAUCUCUGGUAUUGUAAUCCCAGGUACUUGUAAUUCUUACAAACUCCCCAGGUGAUUGAAGCACUGAGGGUAUUAUUGCUCUAGAAUUUCACAACCAGAAACAAAGAACUGACACAGCCUCCAAUUAAACUUUCCGCCAUUCCAGAGAGUUUGAAAAGGAAAGAAGUGCUGCAGACCAAUUUUAAAGAAGGGAAGAGAGGCACAAGGAGGAGAAGCAAUUUUCCAAGGCCAGAGGACUGCUGAGGGCAAGAGGGCGGUGGGGUUGGAGGGAACCUCUUUCCUUUUGGUUCCUCUACAUCCUUUUUUUCUGGCGGCAUAUCACAGUAUCAGCUGUACUGAUGGCUUAGUUUUACACCAGGCGUGAGAGUUCUUUUCUUUUUCUGGGACGGCCUUUCCAAUUAGACCCAUGAUCCUGUUUUUGUGUGUUUUCUGGUAUGGGAGCCCAAAUCUUUCUUUUGUAAUUCUUACCUCUUUGCCAGCCCGAGCAGAGGGUUAUCUGUUUAGAAGGAGUCAGGGGCUCCAAGUUUGGUGUGUUCUGUUCAGAGCAUCACAGGUGCAUGUGCAGUGAAAACUCAUCAAUGAGGGUGGAAUUCACACCUAACUCAAUCUCAGCAUUCAAGCCACUGGAUCUACAACAGUUAAUUCUCUUUGAACACAGAGCUAAAUCCCCAAGGAGGCCUGGCCUGGAGAGGCCACCUGAACUGCUGCCUGCUUAAAGGUGGACUCGUGUUUCUUGAUUUAACUGGGUCAG
RNAcentral lists this long non-coding RNA (1163 nucleotides) under Capra hircus (goat). RNAcentral describes it as "lncRNA (ENSCHIG00010007799.1)". The record is from RNAcentral. Lineage: Eukaryota; Metazoa; Chordata; Mammalia; Artiodactyla; Bovidae.